AGAAUGUCUACAUUUUAAGAUUAGAUCUCAAAUCAGGUAGGACUACCCGCUGAACUUAAGCAUAUCAAUAAGCGGAGGAANAGAAACUAACAAGGAUUCCCCUAGUAGCGGCGAGCGAAGCGGGAAGAGCUCAANUUUAUAAUCUGGCACCUUCGGUGUCCGAGUUGUAAUCUCUAGAAAUGUUUUCCGCGCUGGACCGCACACAAGUCUGUUGGAAUACAGCGGCAUAGUGGUGAGACCCCCGUAUAUGGUGCGGACGCCCAGCGCUUUGUGAUACAUUUUCGAAGAGUCGAGUUGUUUGGGAAUGCAGCUCAAAUUGGGUGGUAAAUUCCAUCUAAAGCUAAAUAUUGGCGAGAGACCGAUAGCGAACAAGUACCGUGAGGGAAAGAUGAAAAGCACUUUGGAAAGAGAGUUAACAGUACGUGAAAUUGUUGGAAGGGAAACGCUUGAAGUCAGACUUGCUUGCCGAGCAAUCGGUUUGCAGGCCAGCAUCAGUUUUCCGGGAUGGAUAAUGGUAGAGAGAAGGUAGCAGUUUCGGCUGUGUUAUAGCUCUCUGCUGGAUACAUCUUGGGGGACUGAGGAACGCAGUGUGCCUUUGGCGGGGGUUUCGACCUCUCACACUUUAGGAUG
This 630-nucleotide ribosomal RNA is filed under the name Rhodotorula mucilaginosa. RNAcentral's name for it is "eukaryotic LSU rRNA". It matches the Rfam family "Eukaryotic large subunit ribosomal RNA", at positions 1 to 625 of the family's 3401-position model. Lineage: Eukaryota; Fungi; Basidiomycota; Microbotryomycetes; Sporidiobolales; Sporidiobolaceae. The record is from RNAcentral.